UACGGGAGGCAGCAGUAGGGAAUCUUCCGCAAUGGACGAAAGUCUGACGGAGCAACGCCGCGUGAACGAUGAAGGCUUUCGGGUCGUAAAGUUCUGUUGUUAGGGAAGAACAAGUACCAGAGUAACUGCUGGUACCUUGACGGUACCUAACCAGAAAGCCACGGCUAACUACGUGCCAGCAGCCGCGGUAAUACGUAGGUGGCAAGCGUUGUCCGGAAUUAUUGGGCGUAAAGCGCGCGCAGGUGGUCCUUUUAAGUCUGAUGUGAAAGCCCACGGCUCAACCGUGGAGGGUCAUUGGAAACUGGGGACUUGAGUGCAGAAGAGGAAAGUGGAAUUCCACGUGUAGCGGUGAAAUGCGUAGAGAUGUGGAGGAACACCAGUGGCGAAGGCGACUUUUCUGGUCUGUAACUGACACUGAGGCGCGAAAGCGUGGGGAGCGAACAGGGAUUAGAUACC
Molecule: ribosomal RNA, 456 nt
Filed under: uncultured bacterium
Lineage: Bacteria
Description: bacterial SSU rRNA
Rfam family: Bacterial small subunit ribosomal RNA
Source: RNAcentral